AACGAACGCUGGCGGCAUGCCUAACACAUGCAAGUCGAACGAGACCUUCGGGUCUAGUGGCGCACGGGUGCGUAACGCGUGGGAACCUGCCCUUAGGUUCGGAAUAACUCCCCGAAAGGGGUGCUAAUACCGGAUAAUGUCUUCGGACCAAAGAUUUAUCGCCUUUGGAUGGGCCCGCGUUGGAUUAGCUAGUUGGUAGGGUAAAAGCCUACCAAGGCGACGAUCCAUAGCUGGUCUGAGAGGAUGAUCAGCCACACUGGGACUGAGACACGGCCCAGACUCCUACGGGAGGCAGCAGUGGGGAAUAUUGGACAAUGGGCGAAAGCCUGAUCCAGCAAUGCCGCGUGAGUGAGGAAGGCCUUAGGGUUGUAAAGCUCUGUUACCCGGGAUGAUAAUGACAGUACCGGGAGAAUAAGCGCCGGCUAACUCCGUG
Molecule: ribosomal RNA, 433 nt
Filed under: uncultured bacterium
Lineage: Bacteria
Description: partial 16S ribosomal RNA
Rfam family: Bacterial small subunit ribosomal RNA
Source: RNAcentral